UACGUAGGGUGCUAGCGUUGUUCGGAAUCAUUGGGCGUAAAGCGCGUGUAGGCGGUUUGUUAAGUCGGAUGUGAAAUCCCUGGGCUCAACCGAGGAAGUGCAUUCGAAACUAACUGGCUAGAAGAUGGUAGAGGAAGGUGGAAUUCCAAGUGUAGAGGUGAAAUUCGUAGAUAUUUGGAGGAAUACCGGUGGCGAAGGCGGCCUUCUGGACCAUUCUUGACGCUGAGACGCGAAAGCGUGGGGAGCAAACAGG
Molecule: ribosomal RNA, 253 nt
Filed under: uncultured bacterium
Lineage: Bacteria
Description: partial 16S ribosomal RNA
Rfam family: Bacterial small subunit ribosomal RNA
Source: RNAcentral